RNAcentral lists this long non-coding RNA (650 nucleotides) under Homo sapiens (human). Its description in RNAcentral is "HSALNT0358260". The record is from RNAcentral. Lineage: Eukaryota; Metazoa; Chordata; Mammalia; Primates; Hominidae.
CAGAUCCCAUACCUGCUCACAGAUGUCUCCGCAACUGCUCCAGGAAAUCAUGUGCUAUCUCUUCAUUCCACUUUCCAAGCCUCAAAUUUUGUGUCCUAAGGAUUCUUGUAAAGAACUCCAUAUCUUUUAAGAAAAUUGGCUAUAUACCUAAAACUAUUCUACUCCCCAAGUAUCUCUGGCUCAAAUAACUUCACCGACAAAUUCUGUAAACUAUUGAAGGAAAUGUAUCAAUUCUACAGAAACUUUUCCAUAAAUUUGAAGUACAAGGAAUUUUUUUUAAACUCAUUCAAUGAGGUUGGCAUUAAAAUGUUACCAAAACCUGAUCAGACAGGAAAAAGAAAAGUUCAAAGUGAUAACCCUUCAUCAACAUAGAUGCAAAGAUUGCAAACUGAAUUUCAACAAAGACAUCAAACAAUAGAUUAAAAAAUACAUCAUGAACAACUGGGUAUUUUCCAAGAAAUAAAAAGUUGAAUGUUAAAAAUUGAUCAAUAUAAUUCAAUUAACAUGCUGAAUUUAGUUUAACAAACUAAAAAAGAAAAUCUAUAUAAUUAACUCAGUAAAUGCAGGAAACUUAUUUGAAUAGUGAGGAUGUUCUCCAAUUUUUUUUCUAGAUGUAUUUUUAACUUUCAUAUGUAUACCUGUGAUUCAUA